This 76-nucleotide transfer RNA is filed under the name Chloroflexota bacterium. RNAcentral describes it as "Chloroflexi bacterium tRNA-Ala". It matches the Rfam family "tRNA". Rfam says of the family: Transfer RNA (tRNA) molecules are approximately 80 nucleotides in length. Their secondary structure includes four short double-helical elements and three loops (D, anti-codon, and T loops). The record is from RNAcentral. Lineage: Bacteria; Bacillati; Chloroflexota.
GGGGCUGUAGCUCAGCUGGGAGAGCGCCUGGAUCGCACCCAGGAGGUCAGGGGUUCGAGCCCCCUCAGCUCCAUCA